This 506-nucleotide ribosomal RNA is filed under the name uncultured bacterium. RNAcentral's name for it is "partial 16S ribosomal RNA". It matches the Rfam family "Bacterial small subunit ribosomal RNA", at positions 28 to 523 of the family's 1533-position model. The record is from RNAcentral.
GAUGAACGCUAGCUACAGGCUUAACACAUGCAAGUCGAGGGGUAACAAGAGAAAAGCUUGCUUUUCUUGUUGACGACCGGCGCACGGGUGAGUAACGCGUAUCCAACCUGCCUAUAACUAGGGCAUAACCUUGCGAAAGGAUGACUAAUACCCUAUGAUUUCCUUUGAUUACAUCAGAUUAGGAAUAAAGAUUUAUCGGUUAUAGAUGGGGAUGCGGAUGAUUAGCUUGUUGGCGGGGUAACGGCCCACAAAGGCAGCGAUCAGUAGGGGUUCUGAGAGGAAGGUCCCCCACAUUGGAACUGAGACACAGUCCAAACUCCUACGGGAGGCAGCAGUGAGGAAUAUUGGUCAAUAGACGGAAGCCUGAACCAGCCAAGUAGCGUGCAGGAUGACGGCCCUAUGGGUUGUAAACUGCUUUUAUACAGGAAUAAAGUUAGCCACGUGUGGUUAUUUGUAGGUACUGUAUGAAUAAGGACCGGCUAAUUCCGUGCCAGCAGCCGCCGUAA